Molecule: small RNA, 1284 nt
Filed under: uncultured bacterium
Lineage: Bacteria
Description: bacterial SSU rRNA
Rfam family: Bacterial small subunit ribosomal RNA (bases 1-487)
Source: RNAcentral
AUGGCUGUCGUCAGCUCGUGUCGUGAGAUGUUGGGUUAAGUCCCGUAACGAGCGCAACCCUUGUCCUUAUUUGCCAUCAUUUAGUUGGGCACUCUAGGGAGACUGCCGGUGACAAACCGGAGGAAGGUGGGGACGACGUCAAGUCAUCAUGGCCCUUACGACCAGGGCUACACACGUGCUACAAUGGAGCGUACAAAGGGUUGCGACCUCGCGAGAGUGAGCUAAUCCCAUAAAACGUUUCGUAGUCCGGAUCGCAGUCUGCAACUCGACUGCGUGAAGUCGGAAUCGCUAGUAAUCGUAGAUCAGAAUGCUACGGUGAAUACGUUCCCGGGCCUUGUACACACCGCCCGUCACACCAUGGGAGUGGGUUGCAAAAGAAGUGGGUAGCAUAACCUUUGGGAGUGCGCUCACCACUUUGUGAUUCAUGACUGGGGUGAAGUCGUAACAAGGUAGCCGUAGGGGAACCUGCGGCUGGAUCACCUCCUUAAUGAGAUGACAGUCGUUAUUUCAGUUUAGUGCCUACCUCUAUUACUUGAUCUUCUUAGUUAGAACAUAAAUCUGUAUGACGUUCGUCAGUUACGAUGGGGCUAUAGCUCAGCUGGGAGAGCGCCUGGUUUGCAUCCAGGAGGUCUGCGGUUCGAUCCCGCAUAGCUCCACCAAUUCUUUUAAUACAGAUUUAAAACUACAUAGAAAGUUUGCUUGAACACUUUUAAAGUUUUAUUAAAUAAAUAGAACUCGAAAAAAAAGUAUUCAAGUAAACUUUUUUAAAGUUUAUUUAAUUGACUCCCUGGUUUAAAGCCAAGGUUUUAAUUAAAAAGUUCUUUAACAAUUCGGUGAAUGAAGACAUAUAUAUGUUUGUUCGAUGUCUUUGAUUGAGAAGCUCGGCGGUGAUUGUGAUGACCACCAAAGUGUUAAUUGAUCGUAAAGAAGACAUCUCCCAAAAAAACGAAUGUGUGUAUGCUGUAAUUUUAACAAGUUAUACAAGCGCAAAAUCUGUACGAAUGAAAGUCGUUAUUAGUUGCGGAAUUUUUCGAUGUAGUGAUGACCCCGGUAUACAAGACGGGGGUUUUGAUUCUGAGCACUGGAACUGGAAAGAAACUGGGUAGCCCUGGUUUGAAUUCUUCUGGGUAACAGCAGAGUCCAUGAUUAUAUGGUCAAGCAACAAAGCGUACGUGGUGGAUGCCUUGGCAGCUAGAGGCGAUGAAGGACGUUGUAGACUACGAAAAGCUUCGGGGAGCAGUCAAACAUGCUUUGAUCCGGAGGUGUCCGAAUGGGGAAACCCGG